AUGCUCGGCCAGCCGAGCGUCAUCGCCCGCCUCAUGGGCAUGGAGGACCACCACCACCACCACCACACGACGUUGCCGGCGACGGCGAUCGUCCACGCCCCGGAGCGAACCACGACGAUCAGCCUGCUGAGAGCGUCGUCGUCCCAGGGCGAGCAGCCCAAGUGCGGCCCGCUCGGCGCCCACCACGGCCGCCGCAUCGGCGGGGAGUACUACCGGUACUGCCUCAACAAGAUGAAGCCGCGGCGGAGGCGAGCCCGGCGCGAUCGCCGCCGCCGCGAGCAUCCGCAGGAGGAGCUGCUGGAGAAGAUCAAGGAGGACUUCCGCGCGUCCUGGCAGCUGGCCUCCACGGCCACGCCGCCAAUGGGGACGGAGGAGGAGGAGGGGGUAGUGACGUCGGGGAGGAGGAGCGGUGGUCGGGUGGCCGGGCUGUUGGACGGCCGGUGCAUCCAGAGGAUCGCGCAGGAGAACCUGCGCCGGGAGAAGAUGGCCAGGUACGGCUAUGGCGGCCGUCAGAGCACCGUGGAGGUGGAGGAAGACGAAGGUAUCAAGGCGCUGGUGGUUGGCCUGAAGAAGAAUGAUGAAGAGGCAGAGCAGCGCCAUGGUGGUUCAGAAGUUGCAGCGUCUGAAGAAUUCUCGGCUGAACAUGAUGAGAUGAGCAACACGUCGGAGAAGCUGCGCGGCAUGCCGGCGACACGGAUAGCGAUCCUCAGGCCGGCCACUGGUGCUACUCUCGGUGCCGCCGGGGAUCAUCGGAACGCCGUUCCGACGCCGUCAUGGAAGGCGGUGCGGGACGGGGGCAUGGACAUGGAGGACUUCCUCCGGGAGGUGAAGGAGAGGGCCGAGAGGCUCAAGGCCGCAACGAAGGCCAAGACCGACGGCCCAGGCGACGUCGUCGCGAAGGCGAGGCGAGGCUGGGGAAGCGUCGGCGACGGCCCGGAGCGAACGGCACAGGACACGGCGAGGCAGAUCAGGGAGGCCGUCGGCAAGAGGCUGAGCCGGCUGGAGUCCUUCCGCGUCUUCCGAGGCGACCGCGGCCGGCGCGACGGCUCGCCGUCCCCGGAGCACCGGAUGCUGAGGAGCGUCAUGGCGAGGACCGAGGCCAUGUCGCCGACGAAGGUCACGGGCAGAGGACCGAGGGGCAGCAGGUGGUCACCGUUGCGGGCAGGCGCUGGCGUAAACGGCCGGCAGAGCCCUGACCGCGACCCGCGUCGGAGUCCGGCGAAGCUGCACGACGACGGCGUUGACUUUAUUGCUGCGUCGCCGCGGGCGCUGCUCCGGUCGUUCUCUGCCCCGGCGGCGGGGUGUUCUUCGGACGCGUCGUCUGAAGGCGAGCAGAAGAUGGUGGGCCGGAGCAGAAGCUUCAGCAUUUUCAGAGGGACGGUGGCGAGUAUGAGGCAGAGCCUCUGCCUCUGCCUGGGCGGAGGAGCAGGGAAGCUGCUGCUGAUGCAUCUGUCCAGGAAGAAGCCUUCCUCUCCGGCGCCUCCUAGCCCGGUGUCGCCGUUGGAGGUCCACGGCGGGCGACAUUUCUCCGGCGAUCUCAACUGCACGUUCCUCCCAGAGUCGAGCCCGAGGUGGAGUCCCAGGUGUUCGUCGGAAUUCGAGGCGUCCGUGGGCGGCGAGUCGCCGUGGGAAUGGAAGGCCGACGCCGCGGCCGAGAGCGAGGACCCUGACACGGCGUACGUCAGGGAAGUGCUCGUCGCCGCGGGGCUGUUCGACGACGACGACGACGCGGCGGUUGCGAGGACGGACUCGAUCGCCAUCUCCGACGACGUCUUCGAGGAGGUCGAGGACGGGUACUACUACCGCCGCCUCCGGCGCCGCGACGACGGCGCAGGAGAGGAGGAGGAACUCGGAGCGGCGGACCGCCGCAGGCUGCUCUUCGACCUGGCCAACGAGGCGCUGCAGGCGGGCGCGAGGAGUGCCGUCUCUUCCUCGUCGCCGUCGUGUCUGCGCCGGUGGGUCGUCGAGUGCAACAACGGCUCGCCGCCGUCGUCGCGGGUGCGAGGGAGGGAGCUGGAAGACGAGGUGUGGCGGCACGUGGCGCGGGCGACGGGGGACGGCACGGCGGAGCGCGAGGUCGGGAGGUCGCCGUGGGUGCCGGAGGCGCUGUGCGGGGACGCCUGCGCCGUCGGGAGGAAGAUCGAGCGCGCCAUCUUCGACGAGCUGGUCGGCGACGUCGUGCGUCAGCUGUUUGUCUGA
This 2199-nucleotide ribosomal RNA is filed under the name Triticum aestivum (bread wheat). Its description in RNAcentral is "partial small subunit ribosomal RNA". The record is from RNAcentral. Lineage: Eukaryota; Viridiplantae; Streptophyta; Magnoliopsida; Poales; Poaceae.